GGAUUAACGCUGGCGGUACGUCUAAUACAUGCAAGUCGAACGAAACAUAGUGCUUGCACUAAUGUUUAGUGGCGAACGGGUGAGUAACACGUAGGUAACCUGCCCUUAAGAUGAGGAUAACAGUUAGAAAUGACUGCUAAUACUGAAUAAGGAAUGAAGAUGGCAUCAAAAACAUUUUAAAGGUCCGAAUGGAUCGCUUAAGGAGGGGCCUGCGGCGCAUUAGCUAGUUGGUGAGAUAAUAGCCCACCAAGGCAAUGAUGCGUAGCCGGACUGAGAGGUUGAACGGCCACAUUGGGACUGAGAGACGGCCCAAACUCCUACGGGAGGCAGCAGUAGAGAAUCUUCGGCAAUGGGGGAAACCCUGACCGAGCGAUACCGCGUGAAUGAAGACAUACUUCUAGUACGUAAAAUUCUUUUAUUUAGGAAGAACAUAUUGUAUAGGAAAUGAUAUGAUAUUGACGGUACUAAAUGAAUAAGCCCCGGCUAACUAUGUGCCAGCAGCCGCGGUAAUACAUAGGGGGCAAGCGUUAUCCGGAAUUAUUGGGCGUAAAGGGUGCGUAGGCGGUUUUUUAAGUUCAAGGUUUAAAUCCAAAGCUCAACUUUGGAACGCUUUGAAAACUGGGAGACUAGAGUUAGGUAGAGGCAAGUGGAAUUCCAUGUGUAGCGGUAAAAUGCGUAAAUAUAUGGAGGAACACCAGUGGCGAAGGCGGCUUGCUGGGCCUAUACUGACGCUGAGGCACGAAAGCGUGGGGAGCAAACAGGAUUAGAUACCCUGGUAGUCCACGCCGUAAACGAUGAGUACUAGGUGUCGGGGAACCCGGUGCCGCAGUUAACGCAAUAAGUACUCCGCCUGAGUAGUACGUGCGCAAGCAUAAAACUCAAAGGAAUUGGCGGGACCUCGCACAAGCGGUGGAUCAUGUUGUUUAAUUCGACGAUACGCGAAGAACCUUACCAGGUCUUGACAUCCCGGGCAAAGAUAUAGAGAUAUAUUGGAGGUUAUCCCGGAGACAGGUGGUGCAUGGUUGUCGUCAGCUCGUGUCGUGAGAUGUUGGGUUAAGUCCCGCAACGAGCGCAACUCUUAUUGUUAAUUGCCAUCAUUAAGUUGGGCACUUUAACAAGACUGCCAGUGACAAACUGGAGGAAGGUGAGAAUGACGUCAAAUCAUCAUGCCCCUUAUGACCUGGGCUACAAACGUGAUACAAUGGUUGGAACAGAGGGAGGCGAAGGAGCGAUCUGGAGCAAAUCCCAAAAAGACAAUCUCAGUUCGGAUUGAAGUCUGCAACUCGACUUCAUGAAGCAGGAAUCGCUAGUAAUCGCAGAUCAGAACGCUGCGGUGAAUACGUUCUCGAGGUUUGCACACACCGCCCGUCAAACCACGAAAGUUAGUAAUACCCAAAACCGGUGGCCUAACCGUAAGGAGGGAGCCGUCUAAGGUAGGGCUAAUGAUUGGGGUUAAGUCGUAACAAGGUAUCCCUACGAGAACGUGGGGAUGGAUCACCUCCUUUCUAAGGAGUAAAACAUUUACACAUUAAAAUAGCUAUUUUAUUAUUCGGUUUUCAAAGAC
RNAcentral lists this ribosomal RNA (1564 nucleotides) under Acholeplasma sp. KDA-feline. RNAcentral describes it as "bacterial SSU rRNA". It matches the Rfam family "Bacterial small subunit ribosomal RNA". The record is from RNAcentral. Lineage: Bacteria; Bacillati; Mycoplasmatota; Mollicutes; Acholeplasmatales; Acholeplasmataceae.